CAGGAUGUCCCCAAUCCAGACUCCGAGGCUGUCACGGAGAAGCCAGCUCGCCAUCUUGCUGCGUAAAACCGAGCAGCUUCGCGGUGAUGGUGGCGAUAACAUUUGGGUUAUCUACGUCUUAAAAAGAGUCUUGCCUCCAGACGUGAGUUCCUGGGACGUUGUUCAUAAUACUUCCGACC
RNAcentral lists this long non-coding RNA (179 nucleotides) under Fukomys damarensis (Damara mole-rat). RNAcentral's name for it is "lncRNA (ENSFDAG00000024433.1)". Lineage: Eukaryota; Metazoa; Chordata; Mammalia; Rodentia; Bathyergidae. The record is from RNAcentral.